RNAcentral lists this unclassified non-coding RNA (306 nucleotides) under plant metagenome. Its description in RNAcentral is "partial contains 5.8S ribosomal RNA, internal transcribed spacer 2, and large subunit ribosomal RNA". The stretch from base 1 to 105 matches the Rfam family "5.8S ribosomal RNA", at positions 50 to 154 of the family's 154-position model. The record is from RNAcentral.
GAAAUGCGAUAAGUAAUGUGAAUUGCAGAAUUCAGUGAAUCAUCGAAUCUUUGAACGCACAUUGCGCCCGCCAGUAUUCUGGCGGGCAUGCCUGUCCGAGCGUCAUUUCAACCAUCAAGCCCCCGGGCUUGUGUUGGGGACCUGCGGCUGCCCGCAGGCCCUGAAAACCAGUGGCGGGCUCGCUGUCACACCGAGUGUAGUAGCAAUCACCUCGCUCAGGGCGUGCUGCGGGUUCCGGCCGUUAAACAGCCUUACAAAACCCAAGGUUGACCUCGGAUCAGGUAGGAAGACCCGCUGAAGUGACGC